UCGGUGCGCGACCCGGGCUGGCGGUGGUUUCCGGUUCCGCGGGGCUGGCGGGCGGGCGGCCGGGAGCGGCGUCGGCGGCGGCGCCUGACAGACAAUGAGGGCGGUGGGGCGGCGCUGAGCGGCGGCGGCGGCGAGCGACGCGGGGCCCGGGGGCGGGGCGGGGCGCCAGCCAUGGACAAUCAGGUCUCCCAGCGCAGGCCGGGGACCUUACCUGCUCUGGCUUCACAGUCCUGCAACCUCCCACUUGAGCUCAGCACCCGCUGCCCCUGCACCGUCCAGGUCAAGUUGGAGCUGGGACAUCGCGCCCAGCUGCGCAAGAAGCCCACCACGGAGGGGUUCACCCACGACUGGAUGGUGUUUGUGCGCGGCCCUGAGCAGUGUGAGAUCCAGCACUUCGUGGAGAAGGUGAUCUUCCGGCUGCACGACAGCUUCCCCAAGCCCAAACGCGUGUGCAAGGAGCCCCCGUACAAGGUGGAGGAGUCGGGGUACGCUGGCUUCAUCAUGCCCAUCGAGGUGCACUUCAGAAACAAGGAGGAGCCGAGGAAGGUCUGCUUCACCUACGACCUCUUCCUGAACCCAGAGGGCAACCCGCCCGUGAACCACCUGCGCUGUGAGAAGCUCACCUUCAACAACCCCACCACCGAGUUCCGCUACAAGCUGCUGAUGGCUGGCGGGGUGAUGGUAAUGCCCGAAGGAGCAGAAUCGGUGUCCAGGCCCAGCCCCGACUACCCCAUGUUACCCACAAUUCCACUCUCUGCCUUCUCUGACCCCAAGAAGACCAAACCGUCCCAUGGCUGCAAGGACGCCAACAAGGAGAGCAGCAAGGCCUCGAAGCCGCACAAGGUGACCAAGGAGCAGCGGGAGCGGCCGCGGAAGGACUCGGAGAGCAAGGGCUCCUCCCGGGAGCUGGAGCGCGAGCAGGCCAGGGGCGGCAAGGACGCGCGCAAGCUGGCCGAGGGCCGGCUGCCCAAGGAGGACAAGGCCCCGCCGCCCAAGGCCGCGUUCAAGGAGCCCAAGAUGGCCCUGAAGGAGGCCAAGCUGGAGAGCUUGUCCCCCAAAGGGGGGCCCCAGCCCCCAGCCCUGCCCAAGGCUUCCAGCAAGCGGCCGGCCGCCGCGGACUCGCCGAAGCCCAGCGCCAAAAAGCCGAAGAAGAGCAGCUCGAAGGGGUCCCGGAGCGCCCCGGGCGCCUCGCCCCGCACCUCGUCUUCCUCCUUCCCGGACAAAAAGCCAGCCAAGGACAAGAGCAGCAGCAAGGGGGAGAAGGGGAAGGCCGAGAGCGAGCCCAGGGAGGCCCGGAAGGCGCUGGAGGUGGAGGAGUCCAACUCGGAGGACGAGGCCUCCCUCAAGUCAGAGUCCGCCCCGUCCAGCCCGUCCAACUCCAGCUCCAGCUCGGACUCCAGCUCAGACUCGGAUUUUGAACCGUCUCAGAACCACAGCCAAGGACCCCUGCGCUCCAUGGUGGAGGACCUGCAGUCAGAGGAGUCUGACGAGGACGAUUCUUCAUCAGGUGACGAGGCCACCGUCAAGACGAACCCAGGACGGGACUCCAGGUUGAGCUUCAGUGACAGCGAGAGUGACAACAGUGCAGACUCCUGCCUGCCCGGCCGUGAGCCCCCGCCCCCCCAGAAGCCACCCCCACCCAACAGCAAGGCGCCAGGCCGGCGGAGCCCGGAGCCCUGCAGCAAGCCGGACAAGAUCCUCAAGAAAGGCGGCUACGACAAGGCCUACACGGACGAGCUGGUGGAGCUGCACCGGCGGCUGAUGGCGCUGCGGGAGCGCAACGUGCUGCAGCAGAUCGUGAACCUGAUCGAGGAGACCGGCCACUUCAACGUCACCAACACCACCUUCGACUUCGACCUCUUCUCCCUGGACGAGAGCACCGUUCGCAAGCUGCAGAGCUACCUGGAGGCCGUGGCCACAUGACCCGGGGCCGGGUGCCGGGCCCCUGCGGCCGGGGCCCCGGGGGGGCUGCGCGCGGGCCCCGCCUGCUCGUGGCACUGCCUUAGCGACCCUCGGAGCCAGCUGCACUUUCCUCAGCGGCUUCCCCCCGCCCGCCCCCCAGGGGGGGCCGGGCUGCUCGCGGCACGUGGUCUGUGGUGCGGGCAUCAACCAGGCUGGGCCUCGCUCCCUGCAGAGGAAGGAACACGUGGGGCUGGGGGCCCCUGCGUGUGGCGGCCCUGCCCCGGCGCUGCGGGGGCUGCUCGGGCCUCUCUGAGCAUCCGGGGCGGAGCCCAGCCUCGCAGACGGUUCAGAACACGCCCCGCCCACCCGUGUCUGCAGCCAGCCCGGCCGGGCCGCGCUGUGCAGUUGUCUAUAUUAUAUAUGUGUAUGCGCUGUUAUGUACACGAGCGGUUUCCGAUGUGCGUUUCUGUGGCAGCAGUGACGUGGGGGGUGGGGGGCUAAGGGUAAGAUGUCUGCGGGGUCUGUGUCGGCUGCAGGCCGGGGCGCCGCCGCCUCCCGCCGGGCCGGGCCCCUGAACACUACGCCGGGCGGCCGGGCGGCCGGGCGCACCCUCCUCCAUAGGAUCCUCUUCCUCCCCGUUGUUGAGCAAGUCUUCGAACUUUGAAAAAAAAUGAGCUUUUGCCAAAUAAGAUGGGGUGGUUUGUGGAGUUUUCCAGGGACCACGGGGACUUGUGCUCCACACGGCCCCUCCCCCCACGCCGGCCCGGGAAGCCCCACCCCGCGGAGACAGCCCACUCCAGGUCCCCCUGGCGCCGCCCUGCCCACCCCCGUCCCCCGGUCCCCCGUGUCCCUGUGCCCGGACCAGCGUGCAGGCAGAGGGGGCAGGGCCCGUGACCCCACCCCCUCCCCCACCCCCGCUAUGAAUCCACGCGCGGGGCGGGCCCGGCCCUGUCCCUGCGCUCCCUGGUCUUCCUGGCUGUGUCUGCUGGGCGCAUCCCGACACUCCUUGCCUCCAAGGCUCCCCCGACUCCAGCUGCCCUGGGGGCUCCCCCGGAUCGUCGGGAAGGACGAGAACUUCCAGAGGAGACCUCAGAGGCCCCUCGGCCGCACUGCCUUCAGGUAUCGGAGAGGGGCAGGCUCCGGCCGCCGCCCACCCCCUCCCCAGGCAGGCCAAUAAUACUCCAAAGUGGGGCGCCCGCGCUUCCGCUGAAGAUGGACAUGGACAGGCCCCAGAGCCCCGCGUGGGCGCGGGGUGGCCGCCGCCGCUCCGCCCUCCGCGCUCGGAGGCCGCGGGCAGUCGCCGGGCUGCUGAUUCUCCAGAGGCUCUCCUGGGGCCCACACGUGGCCAGCGCAGCCGCGGCGGUGGCACCCGGCCCUUCGUGCUGUCGGCAAAGCCUCCGGACGCAGCGACCCGUUUCUGUUACCUCCUCUGGCCGGAAGGCCUCACCGCUGUCCUCCAGGGCUGGCUCCCCGCCCACCCGACGGACGUGCCGGGCCGCCAGCAUUCCCAGCUGCUGCCUACCCCGCCCUGGCUGCCCAGCAGCUGGGCCGGAGAGGGCUCCGGGGCGCGCUCCGUGCUAAGCCGCUCGCCCCCAGUGCAAAUCCCCGUGUGUGGCCGUCUCCUGAACAGUGUAAACCAGAGGGUAUCGAAUACCCUCCCCGCCCGCCAGGGUUCCUCCAGGACGCGCCCCGAGGAACCGGGACUCCUUCCCAGCGGCCCGAGACCAACUCCUGGCUGACAGGAAUAAGGAGAAACGUGUUUGUAACGAGUUACAGGAUUGUUUCUGUCCUGGAUUUUAAACUUUUUGUUAAAUUGUGAAAUUAUGGAGGAGUUUUAUAGAAAAAAAAAAGUGAAAUAAAGUCAGAUGGAAAGCAGA
Oryctolagus cuniculus (rabbit) is the source of this 3779-nucleotide long non-coding RNA. RefSeq annotates it as protein ENL. NCBI's taxonomy places the organism in Eukaryota, Metazoa, Chordata, Mammalia, Lagomorpha, Leporidae. The record is from RefSeq and is a predicted model, not a curated record.